This is a small nucleolar RNA of Ochotona princeps (American pika), 111 nucleotides long. Its record names the gene SNORA74. It matches the Rfam family "Small nucleolar RNA SNORA74". From Rfam's summary of the family: U19 belongs to the H/ACA class of snoRNAs. snoRNAs bind a number of proteins (including dyskerin, Gar1p and Nop10p in the case of the H/ACA class) to form snoRNP complexes. NCBI's taxonomy places the organism in Eukaryota, Metazoa, Chordata, Mammalia, Lagomorpha, Ochotonidae. The record is from Ensembl.
CCCAGCUGCAGACAACUGCCCAGGUUACAUUGUAUCCAGGCAAGUGUUACACUGCUGGGAGAAAAGCAGCUAAUAGUUUGGGAGCAUCCUGGGUCUGGUUAAUGUCAAAUU